RNAcentral lists this unclassified non-coding RNA (320 nucleotides) under Hevea brasiliensis (rubber tree). The record is from RNAcentral. Lineage: Eukaryota; Viridiplantae; Streptophyta; Magnoliopsida; Malpighiales; Euphorbiaceae.
AAAACAAAAACGAAUCAGCACUUCUUCUUCUUCAUCAGAGUUCCAUACACAGAGAGGAGGAAGCAGAGCAAACAACUUCUAUGUAUUCUUUAACUGUGAACUACCCACUACUAUAUAGAACAUGCCUCUUCUCUUUCUUUAUCUGCUCGUUCUUCUCUCUCUCCCUCUCCGAUCCUCGAAUCACCCAAUCCGGCCUCUUCUGCGGCAACUCAACACGUCUCAGGGACCUUGUCCCUGCUUUUGUUAAGGAAAUGGAAGCUCUUUCGCAGCUCAUAAACAAUACCCACUUUGCUACUUACCACCUCAACAACUCCCCUGUU